UAACAGGUGUAGUAAUACAUGCUGACGAGUGGCGCACGGGUGCGUAACGCGUAUGCAACCUACCUAUAACUGGGGAAUAGCUCAGAGAAAUCUGAAUUAAUACCGCAUAAAAUUUUUGGGAGACAUCUCCCGAUUAUCAAAACUCCGGUGGUUAUAGAUGGGCAUGCGUGACAUUAGCUAGUUGGUGAGGUAACGGCUCACCAAGGCUACGAUGUCUAGGGGGUCUGAGAGGAUGAUCCCCCACACUGGUACUGAGACACGGACCAGACUCCUACGGGAGGCAGCAGUAAGGAAUAUUGGACAAUGGGGGCAACCCUGAUCCAGCCAUGCCGCGUGAAGGAUGAAGGCGCUCUGCGUUGUAAACUUCUUUUAUACGGGAAUAAUUCACACUACGUGUAGUGUGUUGAAUGUACUGUAAGAAUAAGGAUCGGCUAACUUCGUGCCAGCAGCCGCGGUAAUACGAAGGAUCCAAGCGUUAUCCGGAUUUAUUGGGUUUAAAGGGUGCGUAGGCGGCUUACUAAGUCAGUGGUGAAAGCCCGGAGCUCAACUCUGGAAUUGCCAUUGAUACUGAUGAGCUUGAGUACACUUGAGGUAGGCGGAAUGUGUCAUGUAGCGGUGAAAUGCUUAGAUAUGACACAGAACACCGAUUGCGAAGGCAGCUUACUAAAGUGUAACUGACGCUGAGGCACGAAAGCGUGGGGAUCAAACAGGAUUAGAUACCCUGGUAGUCCACGCCCUAAACGAUGAUUACUCGUUGUUGGCGAUACACUGUCAGCGACUGAGCGAAAGCAUUAAGUAAUCCACCUGGGGAGUACGGUCGCAAGACUGAAACUC
This 834-nucleotide ribosomal RNA is filed under the name uncultured Sphingobacteriia bacterium. Its description in RNAcentral is "bacterial SSU rRNA". It matches the Rfam family "Bacterial small subunit ribosomal RNA", at positions 70 to 902 of the family's 1533-position model. The record is from RNAcentral. Lineage: Bacteria; Pseudomonadati; Bacteroidota; Sphingobacteriia.